Non-coding RNA from Paramuricea clavata, 4205 nucleotides. NCBI's taxonomy places the organism in Eukaryota, Metazoa, Cnidaria, Anthozoa, Malacalcyonacea, Plexauridae. The record is from the annotation of a GenBank genome assembly.
GAAAAAUUCUUUUGUGAUUUUAGGAAGGGAAUGCGCCCAAAACUUCCAGUGGUAAGUUGACUCAUCUGGCAUGGUAUAGUACUUCAUGUAGGAGCUUCUAUGGCGCACUUUCACCUGUGAGUUCGUGGUUUCGAUUCUCGCUACGGACUCAUGCAAAAAGAGGUCCGUCAACGCUCUGCCGAAUGUCGUGGGUUUUCUUCGGGUGCUCGGGUUUCCUCCCACAGGGAAAGUUGACAGGGUGGGUUGGGAUGAACACGGUUAAGAAAGCAAUAUCACAAUAGACAAUUCCAUCUAUCGACUAUAUUUUUUAUCUAGACAAGAAAGACGAAAUCUAUCAUUAUAGCUCAAAAGAGCAUCCUAAAAUUAGUAAAACUGCAAAAUUUGGUUGCGAAAUGUUGUAAAAUACGGAAAAUAUGGCCCGGUGAAAUUAGCAAAUUUUGAGUAUUUUAGUAUUACGCGCGGGAAAAAUAACCAGUUUCGGCUCAAAAAUGGUAAAAUACGAAAAUCACAAAAUUUUCAAUUUAUUCCCUUUGCCAGGCAAUUUUCGUUUUUAGAUGGCUUUUGUUUAGCAUGUGUUGUUCCAAGAUCAAGGUUACAGCCGAGACCGGUCUGAAAUGUAUUGGUCCGAAUUAACAUGCCGGUCUGAAGUCAGUCGGCUCGGUCCAGCAGGCGGAAUGACUUGAGACUGGUCUGAGUUAUUUUCGUCCCGGUCUUAUAUGUAAAAAAAAAAUAUAAAUAACACUAUGAUCGAAACGAAACGGUCCCGGUUUGACUUCGUUCCAGUCUCAUGUAAACCUAAGGGACCGGUCAUUAUUUAUGGCGGGGGGUGGCACCGAAGAGAAAAGGGUUGGGUAAACAAAAUUUUGAGUGAGUAAAAGGUUGGGUAAAUGAAAAACGAAACAACUCAAAGGUUGGGUAAUAAAAAUUUAUUGUCAUUUCCAAAGCAUGACUCACUCAAAUAUUGAAGACUGAAAACUUCAAUGUCAACAAUCAUACGUGAAUACAAUAUGUGAAUCAAUCGGAGCAUAUAGACAGUCCAGAAGACAGUCCUUGAUUGUCUAUGCUCUGAUUGUCUGGCAUGUCUUCUGGAUUGUCUAUGAUCAGAGUCACUAUCUUGAUCAUUUUCCGAUUUGUUGGGAGACAAAUUAAUGGUGUCUCCAAAGAAAGUAGAUGUGCAGACAACAUGAAACUUUAGACUGCAGAAAAGUCAGUAAAUUUCACAAGCCGAACGUUAUCAAACUCGUAUCACAGAAGUGAUAAAGGACAUGUGUGACAACUGAAUGACAUCCUUUUGUAACGUUUUUGGCCAGGGGUUGGUAUUUAUUUUUUAAAUGAUACUUGAGGUUGGGUAAUCAAUUUUUUUAUUUGGGUCUGCAAAAUUUUUGGCACGACAACCAUUUCUCUUCGGUGCCACCCCCCACCCCCCACCCCCCAUAAAUAAUGACCGGUUCCUUUAAAGAUAGCGAGAAAUAGUUCCAAAAACCUUUUUUAACAAUACGUUGUUUUUUUUAAAUAGUUGGCUGGAGACGAAGACCAAACCACAGCAGAUUACAUUCACAUGGGCCAAUUAUCGAACACGGGUGAAUACCACCCUUUGGACAAGGAAGAGCCUCUCGAGCAAUUGGCCACGUGACGGUGAGGUUAGUGGAUACUUUAUGUUAGCGAUAUCAUUGGGUCUCAGUCCCAUCACGCCAUCUUCCCAUUUUGAUUACCAGUAAACGUGAAAUUUGGCGGUGAGAAAAUACGAUUAUAGUCUGGCAUAAAGAAUUGGUUUAUAUAUAUGGACUCCGAAUAACAAUGCUAUAUAUUUAUUUGAUGAAAACACAUCAGUUUCAAAAUGAAACUGUGUUAAAACUGUACAUAGAAAUCCUUCGGUCGGACGUAGGAUUUUUUCGGCAACAUAAUUCAUCGACCCAUAUACCAUGGCAUCGUUUUUUUUUCGCUAUCGGAACAUUUGAACUAUAUGCAGUUGAAGAUUUUCCAUAAUUUUGGUACUCCGUCGGUUCGAGCCUUGCUAGGCCGUGGACAUUUUUAAUAAUUGUAGCCGAAUAUUAUUACCUGCUAUGUAAAUAUAAUAUCUGUGAUAUGUGUUUGUUUAGUAUACUCAAAACACUACGGUUUAAUAAUGUAAAUAAAUGUAUGUAUAUACAUAGUUACUUGCAAUUAGUUAAAAUGUAAGAAUAUAGUCAUGUAAAUUAGAAUAUCUUUAAGUUGUAUUAAUUAAUUUGAAUUUUUUAAAAGUAAUGUUACACUUCGAUUUCUGAAUCAACAGCUAGCUAGCAUCGACCAUCGUUCUGUCCCCGUAUAGGCUUAGUGACUACAUUUUAAUAUGAGUUUGUUCCUAUAUACCUAGACCUCCGAAUGGCUUAUAUUCAUUAGCAAGCAUUUUUUGAUGGGCUUAUACAUGGGGGCCGGGCGGACUUAUAUGCGGACGGCAUUUGAUCUUAGUAAUAAUAUUUAUUGUAUACCUGUAAACUACCGUGAACGAAAAGAAAUAUAAACAUACAGUCAGGGUUUUUUUCAGGGAUUUUUUAGGGCGUUAAACGGCCCCAAAAACUCAAUCUUGAAUUGAGUUUUGAAACUCAAUCUUCUCACCAAAGUUUCAGUGCAGUAAAAAUGAAGUUGUUUGAGUUAAAUUCGCGACGUGUGGAAAUUAGUUUCAGUUGGAAACCCGACAAUUAAGAAAAAAUGGCUGGAAUUCAUCUCACAACACAAGAAAAACUAUGCAUUCGCCAUCUUUAACCAGUUUAUAGUGUCCCUCAGUGCCCCUGCUUUAACACAUUCCGUCUCAACUACAUUUAUUGAGUACAAGUGUCAGCCCCCGGUAGGGGGGGGAUGCAGUCACCCCAGUUGUUCAGCUAAACUCAAUCUUCUCUGCAAAAACGGACCCAAGAGAAAAUCCUGAAAAAACCCUGACAGUAUACAUAAUCUGUACAUAAAACAAGUUGGUUAACAUAUUAUAAUACUCUAAUGUAAUUAUUGUGAUUGUCUGAGCUGUUGGAAUCCCCAUCGCUGCGUUAAUAAAUACCUGUCGAAUAAUAAGCCCGUGGGCUUUUACACGGAAGGGCUUAUAUCGGGGAAGGGGUUAUACUCCGGGGUGGGGGGGAGGAGGCUCGUACCACAGUCUAUUCGUGACAUGUAUUUCAGGGCGCGAAAUAGCGGAUGGAGGGUCACCUUGACCGGCCAACUCAAUUUUAGCUCGGACAUACCGAAUUUCUGGCAGGAGUCAAAUUAUACAGAUACAGAGAUACAGAUAUUUCACAGCACACUCCCUAUAUCAGGGCUUUUCAGUGACUGGUUACAUUAUGAACAGAUAGAUAGAACCGGACUGACGUGAAGCAGACCGAGGUAGACUUUGAGCUUACAAAUGGCGCUUGAGCAGCCGCUAUUAGUCCGUACCUCAUUAAUGAUCUGCCUCCAGACCUAUGUGCCUAACCCACCCUGUCAACUUUCCCUGUGGGAGGAAACACGGAGUACCCGGAGAAAACCCACGACUUCCGGCAGAGCGUCGACUUUUACUCUUUUCACAUGAGGACUGGGUUCGAGUCACAUUGAGAAGUUCUCACUGAGCUGAUUCGAACCUGCGGCCUUAGAGGUGAAAGGCAAGUGCGCUAGCCACACCGAAGCCCCUAUGCAAAAUUACCACUGUGAUCACCAGUGGUGUCAAGUAACGAAGUAAAUGUACUUCGUUACUGUACUUGAGUACUAUUUUUGAGAAGUGAGCAUGUAACAAAGUAAACUUUUUCUGGAGUACUUUUACUUGGAACGAAGUCGUUUUAAGAAGUAAUGUUUUACUUCGCUAUUUUUAUUUUGUGGCGAAGUAUUUCGUUACUAACUUUUGUUUAAUUUUACGUGAUUUAUUCGUGAUUUAUAUUAAUUUUGGGACAGGUAAUAGGACCUCUACAUGCGUCUGGGAUCUCUCGUUUGUGCCUUACUUAUAUAAGCAUUAUUUAUUUAAUGGAUUUCUUAUAUCUUUAACGUGGUCUGCAAAGUAGACCAUGCCGUGAAAUAUUGUAUAUUAGGUGCACGCAUAUAUUGUGUGUGCUGUUUCGUGUCUUUUGUAUGUCAAUCCAUUGAAGAAGCCCCCCCCCCUACACGCUACAGACAAUAGUACUUUUACUUUUUACUUCAAGUAUUUUUUUAAGAAUACUUUGUACUUUUUACUUAAGUACGUUUGCCUUCAGUACUUUUUAUUCUUACUCAAG